Molecule: ribosomal RNA, 1413 nt
Filed under: Triticum aestivum (bread wheat)
Lineage: Eukaryota; Viridiplantae; Streptophyta; Magnoliopsida; Poales; Poaceae
Description: partial small subunit ribosomal RNA
Source: RNAcentral
AGGGCGGGACGAGGUCUUGGGCAGGUGCAAGUAGGUUUGGUUUGCGACUCGGACUUGGUACUUCGUAGUAGGAGUAGUGCAGAGAGUGGAGUCAGCGUCUUGUCAGGCGGUGCGCUUGUGGUGUCGGGUUUGGAGCGCUUGGUUUGGGACGUGUCGUCUACCGCGGGCACCGCCCGUCGUCGAAGAAAGUCCUUCGCGCCGAGGGCCUCGUCGCCCGGCAGCUCCCGCAGCGGAAGGGGCGCCACGAGCAGGGCUGGCGGCCCGGGGGCCCCGGCCCUCUCCCCUCGGAGCUGCUCAAGGACCGGCGGCACGCCAGCCUCGCCCGCAGGGCCCACCUCGGCGACGACGCCCUCCGUCCCCGCCACGACGACGCCCCCAAGGGGCGCGCCUGCCGCCGCCUGAAGCUGCGGCGGCACCUCCGCAAGCCCAUGCUCCUCGACGGCAUGCAGCCGCCGCGCCGCGGGGCCUGGUUGCACCACCCCGCCCACAAGUGGCGGUUGCUCAGCGGCGGGCUGGUCUUCUAGGGGAAGGUGGUACUCUACCGCGUCCAAGGCUGAAAAGGCCGUUUUGACAAGAAGAAGACACUCCAUCUUGGUUUUUCACCACCUCUCUGUGGUUAUCACGACUCGGUGAUACACAUAUUCUCCUACUUCCUUUUGAAGGGACUUAAACACCUCUUUAACCUCUUCGUACCGGACUAUAUGUGUUCCCAUAACCCUCUCCCACUGCUGGGUAGAAGAGGUUAGCCGGCACCUACCGUUAGAUGUAAAGAGUGAUUUCUAUUUAAGCAACGGCUCCUUUCCCGACGCUUCGAACCCUACUUCGACCUUACCUGGGUGCUGCCCCAAUUUUGUCACUACCCAGGUUAUGGUCGUCAGUUCACCCUGCUCUCGGCUCCCUCCUUCUAUACCAAGUUGUCGUACCAGCGGCGGAUGUGUCCCACCUUCCUGCGGGCGUUACUAGGUCAAUUCCGGCAGUGGAAGCCGCUGCCGAGCGGGAACGGGCGGCUACAGUAUCUCCUUACACCGUUCUAGGAUCUUCUUCUUACGCAGCGCCAAGGUACCGUCGUUCCACUGUAGGAAGAGUAGCUGUUGACCCGCCACGACGUGAGUGCCGCCAGGAAACUCGGGGGUGCCGCGCAUGAACGAAGAGAGACAUUUAUCGUACAUUUACAAGCUGUAAUCUCUACUCCGAAACGAGCCCUAACUAGGCGUGAAGACGCCCAACAUACAUGGUACAUGCACUAGCCUAAACGUGUAUGUUUUGACCUUAUUAAAACACGUCGUCCUGUCCUUCUUAGUAACACAACAAAAACGAACAAACGUUGGACAUUGUAUACUUCAGUACUUGGAACGUUAGUUGUUUAGACGCCAAAAUGUACGUAGUGAAGUUGUCGUUGUACACCGUGAAAAC